GCAUAUCAAUAAGCGGAGGAAAAGAAACCAACAGGGAUUGCCCCAGUAACGGCGAGUGAAGCGGCAACAGCUCAAAUUUGAAAUCUGGCCCUCGGGUCCGAAUUGUAAUUUGUAGAGGAUACUUUUGGCGAGGUGCCUUCCGAGUUCCCUGGAACGGGACGCCAUAGAGGGUGAGAGCCCCGUCUGGUCGGAUACCAAGCCUCUGUAAAGUUCCUUCGACGAGUCGAGUAGUUUGGGAAUGCUGCUCAAAAUGGGAGGUAUAUGUCCUUCUAAAGCUAAAUAUUGGCCAGAGACCGAUAGCGCACAAGUAGAGUGAUCGAAAGAUGAAAAGCACUUUGAAAAGAGGGUUAAAAAGUACGUGAAAUUGUUGAAAGGGAAGCGCCUAUGACCAGACUUGGGCCCGGUGAAUCAUCCAGCGUUCUCGCUGGUGCACUUUGCCGGGCACAGGCCAGCAUCAGUUUGGCGCGGGGGAUAAAGGCUUUGGGAAUGUGGCUCCCUCGGGAGUGUUAUAGCCCAUUGCGUAAUACCCUGCGCCGGACUGAGGUACGCGCAUUGCAAGGAUGCUGGCGUAAUGGUCAUCAGCGACCCGUCUUGAAACACGGACCAAGGAGUCGUCUUCGUAUGCGAGUGUUCGGGUGUCAAACCCCUACGCGUAAUGAAAGUGAACGCAGGUGAGAGCUUCGGCGCAUCAUCGACCGAUCCUGAUGUUCUCGGAUGGAUUUGAGUAAGAGCAUACGGGGCCGGACCCGAAAGAAGGUGAACUAUGCCUGUAUAGGGUGAAGCCAGAGGAAACUCUGGUGGAGGCUCGCAGCGGUUCUGACGUGCGAAUCGAUCGUCAAAUAUGGGCAUGGGGGGCGAAAGACUAAUCGAAACCUUUCUAGUAGCUGGGUUUCCGCCGAAG
This 901-nucleotide ribosomal RNA is filed under the name Aphanocladium album. Its description in RNAcentral is "LSU rRNA". It matches the Rfam family "Eukaryotic large subunit ribosomal RNA", at positions 38 to 966 of the family's 3401-position model. The record is from RNAcentral. Lineage: Eukaryota; Fungi; Ascomycota; Sordariomycetes; Hypocreales.